Molecule: long non-coding RNA, 1311 nt
Filed under: Equus caballus (horse)
Lineage: Eukaryota; Metazoa; Chordata; Mammalia; Perissodactyla; Equidae
Description: lncRNA (ENSECAG00000056947.1)
Source: RNAcentral
GUUCAUUUACGCUUGUUAGGGCGUCCCAGGGGGUUGUCUUUCUCCGAGAAUGGAGUGUUUAUUUUUUAAUUGAUGUGCUGUUUCAUUUAGCGCUUGUAUGGAACUCAUGCUGGGGCUGUAAUUACUGUAAUCUCGGGAACAAGCAUUUCAGUUAGCCAGGAGGGUGGCAAAACGCGUUCCCUCUCUCCCUCUCUCCCCCCUCCCUCUCUUCCCUCUCUUCCCUCUCUCUCUGUUGCGAGAUUUUUGCUGAUUGUCAGAUUUCAUAGCAAGACCGAGUAGGACUAGGGAGCCAAAGUUGUGGAGGGUGUGGGCACAGAGAAGCAGAAUUACAGGUACAGUUGAGGCCAGCUCCACUUUCUGGGGGUGGGGGUGAUGGUAGUUGGUGGUUAUCUGUUUAAGACCAAUUCUCGUCACGAAACAAACAUAACUAGCAGCAUUUGUAUAUUGCUUGAGCUAAUGGAAUCUGUCUUCCUUCUGUUUUCUCUAGCUUAGUUAGCAACCUCUUUAGGCGCCACACUCUAAACAGACAGGCGGAACCCCCCACCCCACCCCCGGCCCCCGGUUUUUGGCAAGUUCUGUAUUUUGGCCAAGAAUUCUAGGCAUAUCCACCAGGCUGUAGUUAUACCCCUAUCUUCCACCGUCUUUUUCUUUUUCUUCUUCUUCUUCUUCUUUUUUUUUUUUUUAAACUGAAGUCUAGUUAGAACCUCAGCAUACUGAAAAAUAACACUUCCUUCUCUCUUUUGUUUUGGAAAAACUAAACUCCAUAGGAAUCAAAAAUUCAAAGGCUUCAGAAAUAUUAGCUGAUUCAGCAGAAAAUGAUCCCUUCGAAAAUGCAAAGGCUCAACCUUUACUUGGCCUUUUUUUUUUUUUUUAAAUCAAUUCCUGUCUCCCCUCCUCCUAAUCGGAACCCCCUUUUAUGGCUGGUUGAAUGUAGAGGGUCACCUGUCUCUUUUGGUGGUACCUUGUUCAUAGAGGGUCAUUGUCCAGAAAGUUCGACUUCGCAGCAACAACAGAUGAAAGCUUUGAUGAUGUGGAAUGUGGAAUUUUUCGGAAAACGAUCCUGUCAGAAGGAGCUACUCACUGCUGUGUCUGCUGUAACAAGGCUAAGUGGGAUGGAAGGAGAUAACCGAGACAAAUGUGUGCCACUGGCCAGGAAUCAGAGAGCAAAGGCCACGUCUUAGCUCUCUCUUUUUCCCACACGGAUUCUGGACCAGGGUGUUGGCAGUGGUGACCUCAGGCUCAGAAGAUGGUUACAGCAGCUCUAGGCUCCACCUCCAGAGACAACAUCUUAAUGAAGUACAAGAAACAAAC